Ciona savignyi (Pacific transparent sea squirt) is the source of this 1244-nucleotide non-coding RNA. Lineage: Eukaryota; Metazoa; Chordata; Ascidiacea; Phlebobranchia; Cionidae. The record is from Rfam.
ACUGUGGUAAUUCUAGAGCUAAUACAUGCGAGAAGCGCCGACCUCGCGGGAGGCGUGCAUUUAUCAGACCAAAAACCGGCCGCGUCUUCGGGCGCGUUCGCCUUGGUGACUCUGGAUAACUUUGCGGAUCGCACGGUCUAGCACCGGCGACGGAUCAUUCAAGUGUCUGCCCUAUCAACUUUCGUCGGUACGGUAUUUGCCUACCGAGGUUCUUACGGGUGACGGGGAAUCAGGGUUCGAUUCCGGAGAGGGAGCCUGAGAAACGGCUACCACAUCCAAGGAAGGCAGCAGGCGCGCAAAUUACCCAUUCCCGACGCGGGGAGGUAGUGACGAAAAAUAACAAUGCAGGACUCGUUCGAGGCCCUGUAAUUGGAAUGAGUACACUUUAAAAGCUUUAACGAGUAUCCAUUGGAGGGCAAGUCUGGUGCCAGCAGCCGCGGUAAUUCCAGCUCCAAAAGUAUAUAUUUAAGUUGUUGCGGUUAAAAAGCUCGUAGUUGGAUUUUGGGCGCAGGCGGCCGGUCCGUCGCAAGGCGUGUACUGGACGUCCUGGCCUUCCCUCCGGUUCUCCGUCGGUGCUCUUGACUGAGUGUCGGCGGCGGCCGGAACGUUUACUUUGAAAAAAUUAGAGUGUUCAAAGCAGGCUCUCGAGCCUGGAUAAUGGUGCAUGGAAUAAUGGAAUAGGACCUCGGUUCUAUUUUGUUGGUUUUCGGAGCGCGAGGUAAUGAUUAAGAGGGACAGACGGGGGCAUUCGUACUGUGCCGUUAGAGGUGAAAUUCUUGGAUCGGCGCAAGACGAACGACUGCGAAAGCAUUUGCCAAGAAUGUUUUCUUUAAUCAAGAGCGAAAGUCAGAGGUUCGAAGACGAUCAGAUACCGUCCUAGUUCUGACUAUAAACGAUGCCAACUAGCGAUCGGGGGGCGUUACAUUGACGACCCCUCCGGCAGCUUACGGGAAACCAAAGUCUUUGGGUUCCGGGGGAAGUAUGGUUGCAAAGCUGAAACUUAAAGGAAUUGACGGAAGGGCACCACCAGGAGUGGAGCCUGCGGCUUAAUUUGACUCAACACGGGAAAUCUCACCCGGCCCGGACACAGUGAGGAUUGACAGAUUGAGAGCUCUUUCUUGAUUCUGUGGGUGGUGGUGCAUGGCCGUUCUUAGUUGGUGGAGCGAUUUGUCUGGUUAAUUCCGAUAACGAACGAGACUCUGGCUUGCUAAAUAGUUACGCGACCAUCCCGGUCGGCGUUUAAC